UUCACUUUAAAGCCUUUCUGGAUUCACUCUAGGACUAUCUGGAGAAAGAGGGAUUUGUAGAAGAAGAAAACAAAACCCCACAAUCGGUCCUAGCAAAGCACAGAGCAUUCAGAACUGGAAGGAGUUAAAACAGAGGGGGCUUGCUUUCACAGUAAAAAGAAAAUUCUGCAUGCAGCUGCUUUGGAUGAAGAAACUGAAACCCACAGAGAUGAAGUAACAUCCUCAAGAUCAAAAGGUAACAAACGAUUGAGGCAGGAUUUGGAUAUUGCUCUACAUGACGGGAAAGCCUGUGCUCUUGGAAUUACAGUCAUAGUACAACAGAUCAAGUUCAAAGCAUCAUCUAAGUCAAGGAAAACCAGUAAAGAGGUUUGGAGAGACAAACAGGGUCAACUCCAGGCAUUUGGGUCAGCA
RNAcentral lists this long non-coding RNA (411 nucleotides) under Homo sapiens (human). RNAcentral describes it as "HSALNT0102458". Lineage: Eukaryota; Metazoa; Chordata; Mammalia; Primates; Hominidae. The record is from RNAcentral.